GUGAGUUGAGUGUACCCUAAGAGGAAUUGGCGGCUAACUCAGUGCCAGCAGCCGCGGUAAUACAGAGGCCAUGAGCAUUGUUAGGAUUUAGUGGGAGUGAAGGGCGGGUAGGCGGUCAUGGGUGUAAAGUGAGAAAUCUCCGCGAUCAACCCGGAAAGUGCGCUUGAGACUACAUGACGAGAGUGUGGGAGAGGGAAUCUGAAUAUAGGGGGUAUGGGUGAAAUUUGUAGAUAUCAUAUAGAACGCAGGGGGGGAAGCUGUAUUCCUAGAAAGGUACUGAACCCUGUGGCGCGAAAGUUCGGGGGAGCAAACAGGAUUAGAUACCCCAGUAGUACACGCGGAAAACGAUGGAUGACUCGCUGUAUGCCUUUUUGGUAUGUGGCCAAGGGAAACCAUUAAGCAUCCCACCUGGGGAGUACGCCGGCAACGGUGAAACUCAAAGGAAUUGACGGGGGCCCGCACAAGCGGAGGAACAUGUGGUUUAAUUCGAUGAUACGCGAGGAACCUUACCCGGGCUUGAACUGCAGGUGAACGAUCCAGAGAUGGUGAGGCCCUUCGGGGCACCUGUGGAGGUGCUGCAUGGUUGUCGUCAGCUCGUGCCGUGAGGUGUCGGCUUAAGUGCCAUAACGAGCGCAACCCUUGCCGUUAGUUGCCAUCAGGUCAAGCUGGGCACUCUAGCGGGACUGCCAUCGUAAGAUGUGAGGAAGGUGGGGAUGACGUCAAAUCAGCACGGCCCUUAUGUCCGGGGCGACACACGUGUUACAAUGGGGGGUACAGAGGGAAGCCACCUGGCGACAGGGCGCGGAUCCCGAAAUCCCUUCUCAGUUCGGAUCGGAGUCUGGAACUCGACUCCGUGAAGCUGGAUUCGCUAGUAAUCGCGCAUCAGCCAUGGCGCGGUGAAUACGUUCCCGGCCCUUGUACACACCGCCGGUCAAG
RNAcentral lists this ribosomal RNA (936 nucleotides) under uncultured bacterium. Its description in RNAcentral is "bacterial SSU rRNA". It matches the Rfam family "Bacterial small subunit ribosomal RNA", at positions 464 to 1401 of the family's 1533-position model. The record is from RNAcentral.